This 781-nucleotide ribosomal RNA is filed under the name uncultured Bacteroidota bacterium. RNAcentral's name for it is "bacterial SSU rRNA". It matches the Rfam family "Bacterial small subunit ribosomal RNA", at positions 119 to 903 of the family's 1533-position model. Lineage: Bacteria; Pseudomonadati; Bacteroidota. The record is from RNAcentral.
AUGCAAUCUACCUUUUACAGGGGAAUAGCCCAGAGAAAUUUGGAUUAAUGCCCCAUAGUAUAAUUGAAUGGCAUCAUUUAAUUAUUAAAGUCACAACGGUAAAAGAUGAGCAUGCGUCCCAUUAGUUAGUUGGUAAGGUAACGGCUUACCAAGACAAUGAUGGGUAGGGGUCCUGAGAGGGAGAUCCCCCACACUGGUACUGAGACACGGACCAGACUCCUACGGGAGGCAGCAGUGAGGAAUAUUGGACAAUGGGCGCAAGCCUGAUCCAGCCAUGCCGCGUGCAGGAAGACGGUCCUAUGGAUUGUGAACUGCUUUUAUACAGGAAGAAACACUCCGACGUGUCGGAGCUUGACGGUACUGUAGGAAUAAGGAUCGGCUAACUCCGUGCCAGCAGCCGCGGUAAUACGGAGGAUCCAAGCGUUAUCCGGAAUCAUUGGGUUUAAAGGGUCCGUAGGCGGUUUAAUAAGUCAGUGGUGAAAUCUGGUCGCUCAACGAUCAAACGGCCAUUGAUACUGUUAGACUUGAAUUAUAAGGAAGUAACUAGAAUAUGUAGUGUAGCGGUGAAAUGCUUAGAUAUUACAUGGAAUACCAAUUGCGAAGGCAGGUUACUACUUAUGGAUUGACGCUGAUGGACGAAAGCGUGGGGAGCGAACAGGAUUAGAUACCCUGGUAGUCCACGCCGUAAACGAUGGAUACUAGCUGUUGGAAGCAAUUUCAGUGGCUAAGCGAAAGUGAUAAGUAUCCCACCUGGGGAGUACGUUCGCAAGAAUGAAACUCA